GACGAACGCUGGCGGCGUGCUUAACACAUGCAAGUCGAACGGAAAGGCCCUGCUUUUGUGGGGUGCUCGAGUGGCGAACGGGUGAGUAACACGUGAGUAACCUGCCCUUGACUUUGGGAUAACUUCAGGAAACUGGGGCUAAUACCGGAUAGGAGCUCCUGCUGCAUGGUGGGGGUUGGAAAGUUUCGGCGGUUGGGGAUGUACUCGCGGCUUAUCAGCUUGUUGGUGGGGUAGGGGCUUACCAAGGCUUUGACGGGUGGCCGGCCUGAGAGGGUGACCGGCCACAUUGGGACUGAGAUACGGCCCAGACUCCUACGGGAGGCAGCAGUGGGGAAUAUUGUACAACGGGCGGAAGCCUGAUGCAGCAACGCCGCGUGCGGGAUGACGGCCUUCGGGUUGUAAACCGCUUUCGCCUGUGACGAAGCGUGAGUGACGGUAAUGGGUAAAGAAGCACCGGCUAACUACGUG
This 468-nucleotide ribosomal RNA is filed under the name uncultured bacterium. Its description in RNAcentral is "partial 16S ribosomal RNA". It matches the Rfam family "Bacterial small subunit ribosomal RNA", at positions 28 to 507 of the family's 1533-position model. The record is from RNAcentral.